Molecule: ribosomal RNA, 497 nt
Filed under: uncultured bacterium
Lineage: Bacteria
Description: partial 16S ribosomal RNA
Rfam family: Bacterial small subunit ribosomal RNA
Source: RNAcentral
GAUGAACGCUGGCGGCGUGCCUAAUACAUGCAAGUCGAGCGAACAGACGAGGCGCUUGCUCCUCUGACGUUAGCGGCGGACGGGUGAGUAACACGUGGAUAACCUACCUAUAAGACUGGGAUAACUUCGGGAAACCGGAUCUAAUACCGGAUAAUAUAUUGAACCGCAUGGUUCAAUAGUGAAAGACGGUUUUGCUGUCACUUAUAGAUGUAUCCGCGCCGAAUUAGCUAGUUGGUAAGGUAACGGCUUACCAAGGCAACGAUGCGUAGCCGACCUGAGAGGGUGAUCGGCAACACUGGAACUGAGACACGGUCAAGACUCCUACGGGAGGCAGCAGUAGGGAAUCUUCCGCAAGGGGCGAAAGACAGACGGAGCAACGCCGCGUGAGUGAUGAAGGUCGUCGGAUCGUAAAACUCUGUUAUUAGGGAAGAACAAAUGUGUAAGUAACUAUGAACGUCUUGACGGUACCUAAUUAGAAAGACACGGAUAACUACGUG